UACGUAGGGUGCAAGCGUUGUCCGGAAUUAUUGGGCGUAAAGAGCUCGUAGGCGGCCUGUCGCGUCGGCUGUGAAAACCCGGGGCUCAACCCCGGGCCUGCAGUCGAUACGGGCAGGCUAGAGUCCGGCAGGGGAGACUGGAAUUCCUGGUGUAGCGGUGAAAUGCGCAGAUAUCAGGAGGAACACCGAUGGCGAAGGCAGAUCUCUGGGCCGUAACUGACGCUGAGGAGCGAAAGCAUGGGGAGCGAACAGG
This 253-nucleotide ribosomal RNA is filed under the name uncultured bacterium. RNAcentral's name for it is "partial 16S ribosomal RNA". It matches the Rfam family "Bacterial small subunit ribosomal RNA", at positions 524 to 776 of the family's 1533-position model. The record is from RNAcentral.